CCUACGGGGGGCUGCAGUGAGGAAUAUUGGUCAAUGGCCGGAAGGCGGAACCAGCCAAGUAGCGUGAGGGAAGACUGCCCUAUGGGUUGUAAACCUCUUUUAUGCGGGGAUAAAGGUGUCCACGUGUGGAUGUUUGCAGGUACCGCAUGAAUAAGGACCGGCUAAUUCCGUGCCAGCAGCCGCGGUAAUACGGAAGGUCCGGGCGUUAUCCGGAUUUAUUGGGUUUAAAGGGAGCGUAGGCCGGUCUUUAAGCGUGCCGGGAAAUUUUGUGGCUCAACCAUGAGAGUGCGGCGCGAACUGGAGACCUUGAGUGCGCGGAAGGCAGGCGGAAUUCGUGGUGUAGCGGUGAAAUGCUUAGAUAUCACGAAGAACCCCGAUUGCGAAGGCAGCCUGCCGCAGCGUUACUGACGCUGAAGCUCGAAAGCGCGGGUAUCGAACAGGAUUAGAUACCCUGGUAGUC
RNAcentral lists this ribosomal RNA (460 nucleotides) under uncultured bacterium. Its description in RNAcentral is "partial 16S ribosomal RNA". It matches the Rfam family "Bacterial small subunit ribosomal RNA", at positions 338 to 795 of the family's 1533-position model. The record is from RNAcentral.